UCCAAUUAUAGAAGUGACAUUGACUGACUUGUUGGAUGGGUUCUAGCUCAGGUGCUUGUCUACUUCAAAUUAAGUUUUUCUAUUUCCUGAAGCAGUGAAUUGUUGCUUUUUCUUGAUGCAUUCAAAAUCCCCCUUUUUUAUGCUUCCAUUUCUUAAGUGAAGAGCCUACAAGUUGUAAUGAAAGGUUGAGAAACUCCCUAGAGCAUAUCGUAACAAAGUGAUCACUAUCUACUCUCAUUCAUUUGAUAAGUUUAAAAAUCCGCGCAUUAUAGGAAAGUAAGUUGUUAUAUUUUCACUCAUUAAAGUACUUGAAUUUUUCACCUUAGUUAGACAUUUUAAUCUUGAGAUUAAAGAAAAAAUUUAGUAUCUUUUACUUAUUUAAAACUUAUAAUAGUUGCUAUCUUCCAUUUCAUCCUUCCUCUCUCGGUUCUCGCUCCAUCUGAUCUUAUGCUUAAAACUAUCUCUGCGGAAAGCAUAUACAGUAAAAUUACUGCAUCCAAGAUCCGACUACAAAUUAAUUUAUUUCUCUGUUUCUUUUGUUCCAAAAAAAUAAAAGAAGAUUUUAAACAAGAAAUUCUGCUAUGUUUAUUCAUUACUUUUUAGCAAUCAAUGACAUCCAUACAUCCAAAAACAGACAACAAAGCUACACAAGAAUAAGAAAUAAUCUCAUAUUCUAACAAAAAAAUACACACAAACGUCACCACAAUAAGCUUAAAAAAAAGAAGGAAGCACACAUAAAUGAGAAGAAUUUUUUUUGAAAAAAAAAUGGUAUUCAAGAAUUUCGCAUUUCAACUUGUAACAGUAGAAAAAUAAGUUAAUUAAAAAAAAUAAAAUAAUGGGUAUUCAAGAAUCCAUUUUAUGCCUUUUAACAUAACAACACAAAGAAAUCAAUAAAAUAAGCCUUUUUUUUUUUAAAAAAAAAAAGUAGAGAGAAAGGUAAUCAAUAAUCUCACUUUCCAACUUAUAACACCACAAAAAGAAAAACUUAAUUUCAUCGAGGGGGGAAGGUUGAAAACAGAUUAGGAAGAAAAUUACCUAUGCGGCUUGUUGAGGAUGAUUGAACAAAUAGCCGAUUAUAAGUAAAAUGGUGCUCUUAUUUAUACAAUUCAAGUGCAGAAAUUUCUGUAUUCUAGAAAAGUCUUUCACUUCAUUUUUGUAGUAAUAAUGGAAUACAGAUGGUUGGUUCUUAGUUUAUAUGUGGCAGAGAAAGCUUGAAAUAUCCUAGAUUUU
Molecule: long non-coding RNA, 1230 nt
Filed under: Capsicum annuum
Lineage: Eukaryota; Viridiplantae; Streptophyta; Magnoliopsida; Solanales; Solanaceae
Description: long non-coding RNA (CANN_LNC021412)
Source: RNAcentral